AUACGUAGGGGGCAAGCGUUGUCCGGAAUGACUGGGCGUAAAGGGCGUGUAGGCGGCGGUGUAAGUCUGGAGUGAAAGUCCCGCAUUCAAUGUGGGAAUUGCUUUGGAUACUGCAGUGCUAGAGUGCGGAAGAGGUAAGUGGAAUUCCCAGUGUAGCGGUGAAAUGCGUAGAGAUUGGGAGGAACACCAGUGGCGAAGGCGACUUACUGGGCCGUAACUGACGCUGAGGCGCGAAAGCGUGGGGAGCGAACAGGAUUAGAUACCCUGGUAGUCCACGCGGUAAACGAUGAAUGCUAGGUGUUGCGGGUAUCGACCCCCGCAGUGCCGGAGUAAACACAAUAAGCAUUCCGCCUGGGGAGUACGGCCGCAAGGUUGAAACUCAAAUGAAUUGGCGGGG
This 397-nucleotide ribosomal RNA is filed under the name uncultured bacterium. Its description in RNAcentral is "partial 16S ribosomal RNA". It matches the Rfam family "Bacterial small subunit ribosomal RNA", at positions 523 to 918 of the family's 1533-position model. The record is from RNAcentral.